GUGACAAUGAAGACUGAGGUGUCUGCUUUGCAGUUUUUUUUUUUCUUUUCUUGUCUUUUUUUUUUUUUUUCCUAAUCAUGUGGACAUCUCUGAGAAUGAGGGGACUGGGUGACUUUGCAGUGUCUGCUUUCUAAGUUUCAAAGUGACUUUCCAGGCAAGCUGCGCAUAUCUUGGGAUCUUCACAGCACAGUGGCUGGGAAGGCAGGCGGACCCGUCUAUCAGCUUCUCCCUGGUGGGAUUCUUGCGGGGGCAGGGAUCGAGUCAAACCUUGGAAAUGACGUCAUUCUGAACUCAUCUGCCUUUAUCCAGAAGACUACCAAAGCAAACCAGAGGACCAGAGAACAGCAGCUGCUCUGGACAAAGAGGGGAGGACACCCACACCCACAUACCAAGUUCUGGUUGACUUCUACAGCAGAAGAAGCAGGAGACACAAGAAGCUUGACUUGACCCUCUGACACCAGAGAACUUAUAGAUCUUGCUCUGGCCUCAAGGGAGGAGAAAAACCUCAAAAUCGAUCAGGACUGGAGUAGAUAACACUCCACUGUGCCUAUCAGUGGGAUUCUACUGAGCCACCAGGAGUACACACAAGGGGCAGCAUUCUCAGAAGGAUCCAUCUAUGAUCCAGGCAGAAAGAGCAGAUGUAUCUGAAUGGUCCACUAUCUUCUUCAAACUGAUUUCCACAAAGACCAAUAGCUCUAUCCAAUCCUUAUAAUCUGUUUCUCUUUGCUACAGAGUCAUUCUGUACCAACAGUAAUGUCUGGACCCUUCUCCUGGGAAAGGCACUUUGAACCUUCCCCAUGGUUCUCCACAUCUGUUCUCCACCCAUUCUCCCUCCAGCGGUGGAGAUGAUGAUGAUGGUGGUGGUGGUGAUGAUGAUGUCCUUUUCUGGUCAAGGAGAAGAAAGCUUCAUAGCACUAUGGUUGAAGGUCAGCUUUCCUAGGUCUUUUGCUAACAUUUCUGUUUGUGGGGUUUCUGAAUCAUCGGAGGAUACUUGUUUGAAGGAUGUCUGAGGAGAUCUUGGGUUCAAACUUGAGUCAAACACCGUUGAUGCCCCCAAAAGUUAGCUCCAAACAGAAUUGCUUAGUCCUGGGAAAAAAUGAAAAUCCAAGCUCCAACUGGCAAAGCAGAGAGGACCUGACAAGUGAGCGUUUUCGACAUCGUAGAAGAGAAAUUGGAUGACUAAGAACAAUCAUCUUCCUGACAGAUUAUGAUCUUGGUCAGCCUGGCUCUGCUGAGUCACUCUGCUAAAUAGUUCCCCUCACGUGGCCCAGCUGCCACCUGUCCCCAGAGGCGCCAAAGGCCACCUGAUCCCAACCACAACUUCAGCUCUCACUACUUGGGUUGUUCCUGCUGCUGUAUUUGUUUUGUUCUUAGGUUAAAAGCAUAAUAUGUAUACAAAAUUAUGUACCAGGUAAACGUUCACAAUUAGCUUCAUGUCAAAAUUAAAAUUAGCAUGAUCAUAAA
Molecule: long non-coding RNA, 1464 nt
Filed under: Mus musculus (house mouse)
Lineage: Eukaryota; Metazoa; Chordata; Mammalia; Rodentia; Muridae
Description: myeloid RNA regulator of BCL2L11 induced cell death
Source: RNAcentral